GGAUUGCCUCAGUAACGGCGAGUGAAGCGGCAAGAGCUCAAAUUUGAAAUCUGGCCCCCUCGGGGUCCGAGUUGUAAUUUGCAGAGGAUGCUUCGGGUGCGGUCCCCAUCUAAGUGCCCUGGAACGGGCCGUCAUAGAGGGUGAGAAUCCCGUCUGGGAUGGGCGGCCGCGCCCGUGUGAAGCUCCUUCGACGAGUCGAGUUGUUUGGGAAUGCAGCUCUAAGCGGGUGGUAAAUUUCAUCUAAAGCUAAAUACUGGCCGGAGACCGAUAGCGCACAAGUAGAGUGAUCGAAAGAUGAAAAGCACUUUGAAAAGAGAGUUAAACAGCACGUGAAAUUGUUGAAAGGGAAGCGUUGUCCACCAGACUCGCCCGGGGGGGUUCAGCCGGCACGUGUGCCGGUGUACUCCUCUCCGGGCGGGCCAGCAUCGGUUUGGGCGGCUGGUGAAAGGCCCCGGGAAUGUACCACCCUCCGGGGUGUCUUAUAGCCCGGGGUGCCAUACAGCCAGCCUGGACCGAGGCCCGCGCUUCGGCGAGGAUGCUGGCGUAAUGGUGGUCAACGGCCCGUCUUGA
RNAcentral lists this ribosomal RNA (570 nucleotides) under Talaromyces funiculosus. RNAcentral describes it as "LSU rRNA". It matches the Rfam family "Eukaryotic large subunit ribosomal RNA", at positions 72 to 657 of the family's 3401-position model. Lineage: Eukaryota; Fungi; Ascomycota; Eurotiomycetes; Eurotiales; Trichocomaceae. The record is from RNAcentral.